GAGUUUGAUCCUGGUUCAGGACGAACGCUGGCGGCGUGCCUAAUACAUGCAAGUCGAACGAGGUCCAUCCGGCGGCAACACCGGAGAGGACCUAGUGGCGAACGGGUGAGUACCACGUGAGCAACCUGUCCCGAAGACGGGGAUAACACCGGGAAACCGGUGCUAAUACCGGAUAUCCCCACCAGACCGCAUGGUCCGGUAGGGAAAGGCCUGUGAAAGCAGACGCUUCGGGAGGGGCUCGCGGCCUAUCAGCUAGUUGGUGGGGUAACGGCCCACCAAGGCUACGACGGGUAGCUGGUCUGAGAGGACGAUCAGCCACACUGGGACUGAGACACGGCCCAGACUCCUACGGGAGGCAGCAGUAGGGAAUCUUGCGCAAUGGGCGAAAGCCUGACGCAGCAACGCCGCGUGGGGGACGAAGGCUUUCUGAGUUGUAAACCCCUUUCAGCAGGGACGAUUGUGACGGUACCUGCAGAAGAAGCACCGGCCAACUACGUGCCAGCAGCCGCGGUAAUACGUAGGGGGCAAGCGUUGUCCGGAUUUAUUGGGCGUAAAGAGCUCUUAGGCGGCUUGGCAAGUCGGAUGUGAAACCUCCAGG
This 598-nucleotide ribosomal RNA is filed under the name uncultured Acidimicrobiaceae bacterium. RNAcentral describes it as "bacterial SSU rRNA". It matches the Rfam family "Bacterial small subunit ribosomal RNA", at positions 9 to 607 of the family's 1533-position model. The record is from RNAcentral. Lineage: Bacteria; Bacillati; Actinomycetota; Acidimicrobiia; Acidimicrobiales; Acidimicrobiaceae.